ACGAACGCUGGCGGCGUGCUUAACACAUGCAAGUCGAACGGAAAGGCCCUGCUUUUGUGGGGUGCUCGAGUGGCGAACGGGUGAGUAACACGUGAGUAACCUGCCCUUGACUUUGGGAUAACUUCAGGAAACUGGGGCUAAUACCGGAUAGGAGCUCCUGCUGCAUGGUGGGGGUUGGAAAGUUUCGGCGGUUGGGGAUGGAUUCGCGGCUUAUCAGCUUGUUGGUGGGGUAGUGGCUUACCAAGGCUUUGACGGGUAGCCGGCCUGAGAGGGUGACCGGCCACAUUGGGACUGAGAUACGGCCCAGACUCCUACGGGAGGCAGCAGUGGGGAAUAUUGCACAAUGGGCGGAAGCCUGAUGCAGCAACGCCGCGUGCGGGAUGACGGCCUUCGGGUUGUAAACCGCUUUCGCCUGUGACGAAGCGUGAGUGACGGUAAUGGGUAAAGAAGCACCGGCUAACUACGU
This 466-nucleotide ribosomal RNA is filed under the name uncultured bacterium. RNAcentral describes it as "partial 16S ribosomal RNA". It matches the Rfam family "Bacterial small subunit ribosomal RNA", at positions 29 to 506 of the family's 1533-position model. The record is from RNAcentral.